RNAcentral lists this long non-coding RNA (1165 nucleotides) under Homo sapiens (human). Its description in RNAcentral is "LHRI_LNC39.1". The record is from RNAcentral. Lineage: Eukaryota; Metazoa; Chordata; Mammalia; Primates; Hominidae.
CUAAAAUCAAUCUCUUUCAUUUUUCCAUUCUCCUUAAAUAGAUUAAAAGACAAUGUACAGUAUGAGUUGAAGGACUUGGUAAAAAUAAACUCUUCUUUGAAUUGAGUGGCAGUUUAGAGUACAUAAGUUUAAAAGAGCACCACUAUAUAAGGCCUGGGGCAAGAGAGCCAAGAUUCCCUGGGCUCAACAUGUUCCUUACCACUCUUCCAGUUUUAGCUCAUGGAGUGCCUUUCGAUCCUUCUGUUUUCUUUCCUGAACAGUCUCACCAGAGUACUUCUGAAAUGCCAUCAGCAGGCCUCCUACAGGAGUGCUGAGAAGAAAGGAGAGGGAAAGCUUAGGAAAAACGAGUCAUUAGACCUUGCAACAUGUGAGAUUCUCUGCUAAGGUGUGAGCAACACCAGAGCCACUUGUUCACUAUUAGGUACAGGAACAUUUGAGAAUUAAAGUGUCCUUGUCAAAUAAAGAAAAACAUUGAGGUAAUCUCUUCCUUGGUCUGAACAACAGACAAAAACAAUCACUACAACCUCCUAAAGUUAACUGAUAUAUAAUAAAACAACAGAUCUAGAAACUGGCUGUUUUUAUGAGGAAUGAGAAAUAAAUCAAAACAAAGAGGAAAAAUAUAUAUAUUUAUGACAAGUUCUAGUAAGUAGCCCCACACCAAAGAUUUCUCAAAAAUGAAAUUUCUAGUUCAGAAUGGCACCAGCUCCUCUAGGAGACAGGAAAUGUGGAGGGCAUUUCUGGUUGAGGGAGGGAUGCUACUGGCUUUUGGGGGUGGGACCACCAAAAUAUCCUGAAGUUCAAGAGUCUGGCGUAACUGUCUCACCCACAAUGCCAAUAGCAACCCAUUGAGAAACUGAUUUAGAUAAUAAUUAUUAUAGUGAUGAAGAGAGUUUGGUUCUUGUGUUCUCAGACUAGAAGUAUUUGACCUUCAUACACCUUAAAUUUCCUCCAGCUACAAUUUAAGUAACCUCAUACUAAUAACUAUUUUUGCUAAGUGGAAGCAACAUAAAUGUUCACUGACAGAUGGUUAAAGAAAAUGUAACAUACACAUACAAUGGAGUAUUAUGCAGCCUUAAAAAAGAGGGCAAUCCGUUCAACAGGUUACAACAUAGAUAAACUUCAAGGACAUUAUUAUGCUAAGUAAAUAAGCUAGUCACAAAAGGAC